UACGUAGGGGGCUAGCGUUGUCCGGAUUUACUGGGUGUAAAGGGCGCGCAGGCGGAUUAGCAAGUCAGAGGUGAAAUCCUACGGCCUAACCGUAGAACUGCCUUUGAAACUGUUAAUCUUGAGUUCGGAAGAGAGAGACGGAAUUCCAGGUGUAGUGGUGAAAUACGUAGAUAUCUGGAAGAACACCAGUUGCGAAGGCGGUCUCUUGGUCCGAUACUGACGCUCAGGUGCGAAAGCGUGGGUAGCAAAC
RNAcentral lists this ribosomal RNA (250 nucleotides) under uncultured bacterium. RNAcentral's name for it is "partial 16S ribosomal RNA". It matches the Rfam family "Bacterial small subunit ribosomal RNA", at positions 524 to 773 of the family's 1533-position model. The record is from RNAcentral.